AUGGCUCAAGCCAUUGUCCAAAGCUCAUGUAGAAAGCUCAGAUCCGCCAUCGCCAUCGCCAUGGGAGCUGAGGCCACGGGCGAUUUGCAGGAAAUAAUGGAAACGCUGGAGGCCAUACACCCGCUGCUGGAGGACGCCGAGAUGCGGUGUCUUCGUUUUACGGGUGAUGUCCCCAGAGAGGGAUUCAAGGAAAUGAUAGAUUCGUCGGAAGCCAUACAGCCGCUGCUGGAGGAUGCCCCCCAGCAAAUGGAGGUAUGUUACUUCACCAUCCUUAUACAUUUUGAAGAAAAGCUCAGAUCCUGUCAUUGUUAG
This 312-nucleotide ribosomal RNA is filed under the name Triticum aestivum (bread wheat). RNAcentral describes it as "partial small subunit ribosomal RNA". Lineage: Eukaryota; Viridiplantae; Streptophyta; Magnoliopsida; Poales; Poaceae. The record is from RNAcentral.